AUGAAUGAGUCAACAGCUUAAACAAGAGAUUUCAGAAAGUAAAAGAAAACCUGCGUAAGCACCACUACUUGUGGCUCCGGCGGUUGGCUAUUCAGUCAGCGGAUAAACACAGGUGCGUACCAACUGCGUCAAUCACACCCAGCUGGCAGGACAGCAGAGCGCAUGUGCAUACCAACUUCCAGCCGAGGCGACCAAUAGGAGAGGUCUGCCUGCGCUUGCACAAAAGGAGACGCUGGCGUUUCCUUCCGGUCCUCUUCACCGUGGUUGUCGCACGCACGUUUGUGACUAUCUUCUUUGGGAACCCCCAGCCCCCAUUGAGGAAGUAACAUUUCAUACAGCCCUUGGUACAGAGCGGAUUUUCAAAUGGCUUAUUCAGUGGAAUAAAAAGAUUUCUAGAACACCCCCUGUGAUGAACCAUGGCUUGUCAUGGCCAACUGGUAAAACUGAGGCCCUAAAUGUAAGACCAAAGAAAAAUGAUACUCUUUGACCUGCUUCUCUUUGCUUCGGUUUUUUACCUGCUCCUGGACAUCUUCAAACUCUGAACUGAGCAACUCUAUGAAGAUGGGCACAGCUCCUGCCUGAAUCACAAUCCGGGUCUGAAGAGAAUUUCCUGAAGCAAUAUUUGUCAGUACCCAAGCUGAUUCAAACUAUAAAGAUAAAAAUAAUUUUAUUAUCUUA
Long non-coding RNA from Suricata suricatta (meerkat), 678 nucleotides. RefSeq lists it as uncharacterized. NCBI's taxonomy places the organism in Eukaryota, Metazoa, Chordata, Mammalia, Carnivora, Herpestidae. The transcript has 3 exons. The record is from RefSeq and is a predicted model, not a curated record.